RNAcentral lists this ribosomal RNA (388 nucleotides) under Thoracosphaeraceae sp. RNAcentral's name for it is "partial small subunit ribosomal RNA". It matches the Rfam family "Eukaryotic small subunit ribosomal RNA", at positions 582 to 975 of the family's 1831-position model. Lineage: Eukaryota; Dinophyceae; Thoracosphaerales; Thoracosphaeraceae. The record is from RNAcentral.
AUUCCAGCUCCAAUAGCGUAUAUUAAAGUUGUUGCGGUUAAAAAGCUCGUAGUUGGAUUUCUGCUGAGGACGACCGGUCCGCCCUCUGGGUGAGUAUCUGGCUUGGCCUUGGCAUCUUCUUGGAGAACGUAGCUGCACUUGACUGUGUGGUGCGGUAUCCAGGACUUUUACUUUGAGGAAAUUAGAGUGUUUCAAGCAGGCACACGCCUUGAAUACAUUAGCAUGGAAUAAUAAGAUAGGACCUUGGUUCUAUUUUGUUGGUUUCUAGAGCUGAGGUAAUAAUUAAUAGGGACAGUCGGGGGCAUUUGUAUUCAAACGACAGAGGUGAAAUUCUCGGACCGUUUGAAGACAAACUACUGCGAAAGCAUUUGCCAAGAAUGUUUCAUCA